CGUAGGGUGCAAGCGUUAAUCGGAAUUACUGGGCGUAAAGCGUGCGCAGGCGGCUUUGCAAGACAGAUGUGAAAUCCCCGGGCUCAACCUGGGAACUGCAUUUGUGACUGCAAGGCUAGAGUACGGUAGAGGGGGAUGGAAUUCCGCGUGUAGCAGUGAAAUGCGUAGAUAUGCGGAGGAACACCGAUGGCGAAGGCAAUCCCCUGGACCUGUACUGACGCUCAUGCACGAAAGCGUGGGGAGCAAACAGGAUUAGAUACCCUGGUAGUCCACGCCCUAAACGAUGUCAACUGGUUGUUGGACGGCUUGCUGUUCAGUAACGAAGCUAACGCGUGAAGUUGACCGCCCGGGGAGUACGGCCGCAAGGUUG
This 370-nucleotide ribosomal RNA is filed under the name uncultured organism. Its description in RNAcentral is "bacterial SSU rRNA". It matches the Rfam family "Bacterial small subunit ribosomal RNA", at positions 526 to 896 of the family's 1533-position model. The record is from RNAcentral.